UCUACAUUUUCAGACACAAUUUGGAACGAACUGUGAACACCCCAAUUUAUUUUUCAAUAGGAAGUUAAAGCACAGCAUAAAUGUAAUGGUGAUAUGUGACCACAAAUGCGUAUUAGGGCUGUUAAUGGUACAUUUGGAGGUGCGUCGCACGAUUCUCACAUAUGGAAUUUAUCAAACGAACGUGAUUAUAUGAAAACGAACUACGAAAAUGGAGAUAACAAUACACGAAUCCUUGUGCGAAGUUUUGGCUGUUUAAAGUAAGAUAUGGAGUUUUUAUUUCAAGAGGAGAGUAUAGGCACUCAGGGUCAGCAAUCAGCUGGAAAAAAGGGAUGGAGGAAUUGCUGAAAAAAUAUUAAAAAAUCAAGAUAAAAUAUUAGAGAACCAGAGGGCAGGUAUCGACCGUUUGGAUGCUUUGGAUAAGCGGUAAAUAAUAUAGAAAGCUCCUGCAGAGAAAAUUACUUUCAGAAAAUCGAAGCCAGUGAGCGUGAUUCGUGAGUGCAAAGUCAUACUCCGAAGAAUACAAAGUUCCGUUUGAAAAAUUACCGGGGAGGAAGUAGAUCCACUUCAAACAAAAAUCGCGGCAACACUGCCUUUUCAGACGUUGGCUGCAGCUAAGGAGUUUGAAAUAAAUCUGCUGCAACAAGAUUAUAUCGAGGCAAGAAAACUUUUCUUUUACGGCUGUAGGGUCAAGACAGCACUGUUGACGAUUUGUUCCGUCAGCUUUUCAACGACGAUUUUCUAUCCCUUUGCAACUGGGAUGGCAGAGGUAACAAGCAGGCGCUGUCCCAGCUUUCUUGUGUGUCGGAAAUUUUGUAUGGUAAGUAAUUUGAAUAUGCCUAUAUUUCCACUGAUUCUUCAAUUUCGUGUCUGUAUAUCCUUACCAGAUGUUUUCCAGCUAAAUGGACGGGCUGCUUACGAAAAAAACAUUCGUAAGUCUGUUGACCUUAGUCAACAACCGAUUUAAGCAGCGAAACUACCGGCAGAGAAACACCUCAAAGGUGGGAAAUAUAAAUAUAAGUAAUACCUCAAUAUAAACAAUAAGUAUAUACUUGUUGUAAUAAGUAAAUAUAUACAUACAUAUGUAUAUCUAUGGACACAGAAAUGGCACAAAAAUGUUAAGAUAACUUACAGCCAUGGUUUCUGAAAAUAUAUUUUGUUAAUUUUAGGAAAAACUUAAAUGAAUUCUAUAACGAAAACCAUGUAAAAUAGUUUUAAAAUAGUCUUCGAACGUUUUUGAAAAUUCGAGAAAAUUUUC
Long non-coding RNA from Rhagoletis zephyria (snowberry fruit fly), 1255 nucleotides. RefSeq lists it as uncharacterized. The record is from RefSeq and is a predicted model, not a curated record. Lineage: Eukaryota; Metazoa; Arthropoda; Insecta; Diptera; Tephritidae.